AAGCUGGAAUCGCUAGUAAUCGCGGAUCAGAAUGCCGCGGUGAAUACGUUCCCGGGUCUUGUACACACCGCCCGUCACACCAUGGGAGCCGGGAAUGCCCGAAGUCAGUGGCCCAACCGCAGGGAGGGAGCUGCCGAAGGCAGGCCCGGUGACUGGGGUGAAGUCGUAACAAGGUACC
RNAcentral lists this ribosomal RNA (178 nucleotides) under uncultured bacterium. RNAcentral's name for it is "partial 16S ribosomal RNA". It matches the Rfam family "Bacterial small subunit ribosomal RNA", at positions 1323 to 1500 of the family's 1533-position model. The record is from RNAcentral.